RNAcentral lists this ribosomal RNA (255 nucleotides) under uncultured bacterium. Its description in RNAcentral is "partial 16S ribosomal RNA". It matches the Rfam family "Bacterial small subunit ribosomal RNA", at positions 524 to 776 of the family's 1533-position model. The record is from RNAcentral.
UACAGAGACUGCAAGCGUUAUUCGGAUUCACUGGGCGUAAAGGGUGCGCAGGCGGCCAAGUGUGUUAGGCGUGAAAGCCCGGGGCUUAACCUCGGAAUUGCACCUAAAACUACUUGGCUAGAGCAUUGGAGAGGGUAGCGGAAUUCACGGUGUAGCAGUGAAAUGCGUAGAUAUCGUGAGGAACACCAGAGGCGAAGGCGGCUACCUGGACAAUUGCUGACGCUCGGACGCACGAAAGCGUGGGGAGCAAAAGGG